GGCGUAGACGGUGUGGCAAGUCUGAUGUGAAAGGCAUGGGCUCAACCUGUGGACUGCAUUGGAAACUGUCAUACUUGAGUGCCGGAGGGGUAAGCGGAAUUCCUAGUGUAGCGGUGAAAUGCGUAGAUAUUAGGAGGAACACCAGUGGCGAAGGCGGCUCACUGGCUCGAUACUGACGCUGAGGUGCGAAAGUGUGGGGAGCAAACA
Molecule: ribosomal RNA, 207 nt
Filed under: uncultured bacterium
Lineage: Bacteria
Description: partial 16S ribosomal RNA
Rfam family: Bacterial small subunit ribosomal RNA
Source: RNAcentral